This 1265-nucleotide long non-coding RNA is filed under the name Lactuca sativa (garden lettuce). RNAcentral describes it as "long non-coding RNA (LSAT_LNC000171)". Lineage: Eukaryota; Viridiplantae; Streptophyta; Magnoliopsida; Asterales; Asteraceae. The record is from RNAcentral.
AAAUCAAAUCUAUAGAGUUUGUUUACCGCCACGUAUCCUACCUUCGUAACGUCGUAACAUACCAAGAGUUUUGAAGUACGCCUAUAACGUAUCGCAUUCUCAUAUAUAGCUACCACCGAUUCAACACUCCCCUUCCCAUCUAAGCCUAACUCCGGUUCCUCCCCCAAUAUCAGUCGACAGAGAUGAUGUCUGUUACCGCCACUGCCUUCUUCCACCAAGCACGAUUCUUGGAUAAGUGAUAUAGGUGAAUCUACAAGAACUCCCAAAUCAAAUUUACUAGGUUUUUUCACUCUGGGUAAUCUUUCUAUGAAAUGGCGCCAUAAACAUCUAAGUCGAUUCACACUUGUUGUGAGCAUGCGUCUGCUUGGGCUUAUUUUUUUUUUUUAAAUAAUUUUUAUUACGCUCCAUAUUUUUUAAUGAUUCACAAAGGUUCUUCUACUAGACUAAGUCAGCCUUCUUUGCUAACAAUCUUUGAUUUGAGAUUUUUUUUUGUAUUUGUGUAUAUGGGAAACUAACUUCUGAUUAUGAUUGUUAAUUGCAUACUGAAAUGAAAUUUAGGGUUUUGAAUUGAUGUUCUGCUUCAGAAAUAUGUAGUUUCAUGUUAUGACCUGUUUCUUUUAUUAGAAAAUCUGCAUAGGGGAAAAAGGGUGUAAGUUUAGAACAUUUAUUUCCUUGCCUACGUCACAUUUUGUUUGGGUUCAUUUUGACUUUUAACACUUAGUUUUAGUGCUAACAUCCUAGAAAUACUUCCAUUUCUUACAAGGAUAUGAUGGGCUACCUCUUAUACGAUAAUUUUACUUUACCAUUUCCCUGAUAGAAAAAGUUUUGCAAAGGAAGUGCUUAAACACGUGAAAAUUUUCAUCUUUUUUCUAAUCUUCCAGCAAUCACAACUUUAUGUUUCUGUUAUUUUGUUGUCUUGUUGGUAUAAGGGGUGUUCCAGAGAUAAUCAUUUAUGAUGCAAGGGGUUUCUUAUUUAUGCAAAUGUGAUAUAGGAAUUUGAUUCACAAUUAGUCCCUGGAUAGACUAAGAACAUAGAAUGUUUCUAAUGGGACUGCAGAAUCUUGGAAAACCAAUAUGUGCAAAAGAAAAAAGAUGAUCUACCCUAUUGGAUAUGGUUACAAUUUUAGCGGUAAUGUAUGCUUCUUUCUUGCUAAUAGAUGUAGUUCAUUAUUUUUUUUGACUUAACCACUUAAUAUUUUUUUUGGUGGUGACCAAAAGACAUUUUUUUUUAUUUCUUGCUGUAAAAUCAAUUUUAAAAUGUUUCU